Molecule: ribosomal RNA, 544 nt
Filed under: uncultured Ascomycota
Lineage: Eukaryota; Fungi; Ascomycota
Description: SSU rRNA
Rfam family: Eukaryotic small subunit ribosomal RNA
Source: RNAcentral
UUGGAGGGCAAGUCUGGUGCCAGCAGCCGCGGUAAUUCCAGCUCCAAUAGCGUAUAUUAAAGUUGUUGCAGUUAAAAGGCUCGUAGUUGAACCUUGGGCCUGGCUGGCCGGUCCGCCUCACCGCGUGCACUGGUUCGGCCGGGCCUUUCCCUCUGGGGAACCUCAUGCCCUUCACUGGGUGUGAUGGGGAACCAGGACUUUUACUGUGAAAAAAUUAGAGUGUUCAAAGCAGGCCUAUGCUCGAAUACAUUAGCAUGGAAUAAUAGAAUAGGACGUGUGGUUCUAUUUUGUUGGUUUCUAGGACCGCCGUAAUGAUUAAUAGGGACAGUCGGGGGCAUUAGUAUUCAAUUGUCAGAGGUGAAAUUCUUGGAUUUAUUGAAGACUAACUACUGCGAAAGCAUUUGCCAAGGAUGUUUUCAUUAAUCAGGAACGAAAGUUAGGGGAUCGAAGACGAUCAGAUACCGUCGUAGUCUUAACCAUAAACUAUGCCGACUAGGGAUCGGACGGUGUUAUUUUUUGACCCGUUCGGCGCCUUACGGGAAAC